UACGGAGGGUGCAAGCGUUAUCCGGAUUCACUGGGUUUAAAGGGUGCGUAGGAGGGCAGGUAAGUCAGUGGUGAAAUCUCCGAGCUUAACUUGGAAACUGCCGUUAAUACUAUCUGUCUUGAAUAUUGUGGAGGUGAGCGGAAUAUGUCAUGUAGCGGUGAAAUGCUUAGAUAUGACAUAGAACACCAAUUGCGAAGGCAGCUCGCUACACAUAUAUUGACUCUGAGGCACGAAAGCGUGGGGAUCAAACAGG
This 253-nucleotide ribosomal RNA is filed under the name uncultured bacterium. Its description in RNAcentral is "partial 16S ribosomal RNA". It matches the Rfam family "Bacterial small subunit ribosomal RNA", at positions 524 to 776 of the family's 1533-position model. The record is from RNAcentral.